AAAAACAUUUAAAAACUUGGAUUUCAUUAAAUAGCAAACGAUUGAUUUUAUAGAUAUAUUUGCCAUUAAAAUCCUCUACCAAUCACUUGUUUGCUGUCUUUCCGAGUAUGUAAGUCUAAUUUGGUCGCCCCGAUCAAACGGCGGAUCGCUCAUGAUUGAGAAGGACUCUUCAGAAAACAGAAGAAUUUUGACUUCGGCCUUGCCCUUUUGGAAGAUACUGAAUAAAAGAAUAGAUGAUGGAUUUCCCGCAGAUCUUGUCUUCCGUUGGUAUUAGGUUCUCCCAGCGUCGACUCUGCUCCUUAGGACGACAUUGGACGAAUUAUUGGUCCGGGAUCUUGUCUUUUUCGGAUGGUUCGGCGCAGUGAGUCUCACGUAACACGGCUAUCAACGGACAGAGACAGAUUUCAGGUUUCGUUUUACAGACAAUAUCCUAUCUGAAUAAAAAGAGAGUUAAGAUCGAAGAGAAAACUUAACAAUUCCAAAUUAAAAAAAUAAUAAAAAUAGGAAGGAACCAAACGUAAAUCACUAUUAAUUCUUUAGAUUCGACUAGCAAGUCGGGUUAUAAUUUAUUAGAAAUCUUUUCUAUUACACCGUAAAUGCAGCAAAUAUUAAG
Molecule: long non-coding RNA, 613 nt
Filed under: Cimex lectularius (bed bug)
Lineage: Eukaryota; Metazoa; Arthropoda; Insecta; Hemiptera; Cimicidae
Description: uncharacterized LOC106674423, transcript variant X2
Source: RNAcentral